Triticum urartu is the source of this 403-nucleotide non-coding RNA. The record is from RefSeq and is a predicted model, not a curated record. NCBI's taxonomy places the organism in Eukaryota, Viridiplantae, Streptophyta, Magnoliopsida, Poales, Poaceae.
GCUUCGUCUUCGUCGCCGGCAAACUGCAGAUUCAGGAGGACCACCUCCACCUCAGCGGCCCUAUCCCUGAAUUCGGCGACCACAGCCACACCCAGGUGAAUGGAGCUUGUGUUGUUGGUAGAACUCCGUUGAUGGCUUCUUCCUAUGUUGAAGAGCAUGUUCCAUGGUAUCCAAGAGUAGCUAGCAUUACACUGGCAGAGCGUUUUAUUUGUCGAUCGCAAUAUUUAUGAUUGUGUGGAAUAUUGUAUGGCUAUCUACAUGAAGUUUGAAGUUCGUGGGCAUGCAAUAUUUGACAGUUAAACUGGUUGUUGUGAUGUGAACGAGUGUAUGGAGUUUCACAUGUUCUGUUCUGUACAGAAUAUAUUGUAAUAAACCUAUUUUGGUUGUUAUUUGAAGAUUUUCA